Aegilops tauschii subsp. strangulata is the source of this 637-nucleotide non-coding RNA. The record is from RefSeq and is a predicted model, not a curated record. NCBI's taxonomy places the organism in Eukaryota, Viridiplantae, Streptophyta, Magnoliopsida, Poales, Poaceae.
GGACCCGAAUGGAGUGAAAUAUUUAAUAUGUACAUACCAUUUCUCGAUUGAGAGAUCUAUUUACUGAUGGCUGGUUUUUAAAGAUGUCUUAUAAAGUUGUGAAAUUCUACGAGAAAAGGCUUGUGAGUGGAAUUAAUGAGUACGGUGCUUGUGAAGUUUCCUCCAUAGCUCUUUUGCAAUCAAUCAUUCGUCUGUUAUUAUGGUUGUUCCAUUGUAUGCAUGCACAUUGGAAGGCAGAAAGUAAUGUUGGCUGGUCGCCAGAGAAGUAAAAAGGCCAACAUCUUGACCUGUAUGGAGCAUGGUUGUUUUCUUGAAGUUUUUGAUGCAUUGUAUACCAUUGACUAAGAGGAAUCGUUCAUUCAUGAGAAUGGGACAAGAGCAUUGCUAGAUGGAAUUCGGCUGAGUGUAAGUACACAUGAGAGGUGUGUUUUCAUUGAUAGAGGAAGGGUGAGAGCAUGACACUUGUACAGGAAAAAGAAAGAAAUGGAAACCAAAAUUUAAAAGUAAAGAGAAGAAUGCUAUGAUCUCAUGAUAAGAUGUCGGUCACCAGCGAGCACCCACAUGAGCAAACCUAUAAUAGGUCCUAAGACACAUAAUAUGUGAUUAAGGGGCAUAAUUGGAUUAUGAGUUUGGACCA